This is a long non-coding RNA of Stylophora pistillata, 682 nucleotides long. RefSeq lists it as uncharacterized. The record is from RefSeq and is a predicted model, not a curated record. NCBI's taxonomy places the organism in Eukaryota, Metazoa, Cnidaria, Anthozoa, Scleractinia, Pocilloporidae.
AUUUGACUGCAUGUCACCGUGUACCUUCAAAGCUGAUUGCUCCACCGUUUAGUUGACACAGUUCAGUUGGACUCAACGAAACGAGACACCUCCGCGGAUCUCACGAAAGUUUCUUCUGCAAUUAUGAAGACCCUUUGUGUUGUCAUACUUGCAUUUUUGGUAGUCGUUGGGAUGUCACGCGCUCGUCAUCCGAAAAAACUAGGAGGGCCGCCUAAAGGCAUAGGAAAAAGCAAUGAUUCCGAGAAAAAAAUGAAUGGAAGGGAGGCAAAGCAUUUUCUUUCAAAAAAGGGAAACCCCGCAUGUAGAGAAGUCUGUUGGGAAAACUGUUCUAGGGAACUGCGAGCUGGUAAUACAAAAAGCUGCGAACAUUGCUGUAAUUGAUAGCAAGUGUCCCAGCUCCAAGUUCUGUGCCGCAGACCUGCAUGGUAUCAUAGAAAUACCAAGGACUAAAGGAGAUUCUUUACUUUGCAGUGUGCUUGUGUGUGUGAAUGCAGUCUAGUUAAUGAGACAGAAGGGAUGAAAACAGAGUAGUUUUAACUGAGAGGUUCAAUGCAGUGUACGCAAUUUAUGUCUUAAAGUAUUCGAAGAUGAAAGGAGAAGUAAUUCAAUUUCACAUUGCAGUCUCCGUGUAUCAAUUGUAGUAAAGUGCAACUUAAGUUGAAUAAAAAAUGUGGCGGCCUUC